Molecule: ribosomal RNA, 478 nt
Filed under: uncultured bacterium
Lineage: Bacteria
Description: SSU rRNA
Rfam family: Bacterial small subunit ribosomal RNA
Source: RNAcentral
AGGACGAACGCUGGCGGCGUGCUUAACACAUGCAAGUCGAGCGAGGCCCUUCCUUCGGGAAGGUGUCCUAGCGGCGAACGGGUGAGUAACACGUGGGCAACCUGCCCUCAGCUCUGGGAUAACUCCGGGAAACCGGGGCUAAUACCGGAUACGACCUCUAAGGGCAUCCGAAGAGGUGGAAAGUUUUUCGGCUGAGGAUGGGCCCACGGCCUAUCAGCUUGUUGGUGGGGUGACGGCCUACCAAGGCGACGACGGGUAGCCGGCCUGAGAGGGUGACCGGCCACACUGGGACUGAGACACGGCCCAGACUCCUACGGGAGGCAGCAGUGGGGAAUAUUGCGCAAUGGGCGAAAGCCUGACGCAGCGACGCCGCGUGAGGGACGAAGGCCUUCGGGUUGUAAACCUCUUUCAGCAGGGACGAAGCGAAAGUGACGGUACCUGCAGAAGAAGCACCGGCCAACUACGUGCCAGCAGCCGC